This 207-nucleotide ribosomal RNA is filed under the name Escherichia coli. RNAcentral's name for it is "partial 16S ribosomal RNA". It matches the Rfam family "Eukaryotic small subunit ribosomal RNA", at positions 1457 to 1663 of the family's 1831-position model. The record is from RNAcentral. Lineage: Bacteria; Pseudomonadati; Pseudomonadota; Gammaproteobacteria; Enterobacterales; Enterobacteriaceae.
CAGGUCUGUGAUGCCCUUAGAUGUCCGGGGCUGCACGCGCGCUACACUGACUGGCUCAGCGUGUGCCUACCCUACGCCGGCAGGCGCGGGUAACCCGUUGAACCCCAUUCGUGAUGGGGAUCGGGGAUUGCAAUUAUUCCCCAUGAACGAGGAAUUCCCAGUAAGUGCGGGUCAUAAGCUUGCGUUGAUUAAGUCCCUGCCCUUUGU